RNAcentral lists this ribosomal RNA (460 nucleotides) under uncultured bacterium. RNAcentral's name for it is "partial 16S ribosomal RNA". It matches the Rfam family "Bacterial small subunit ribosomal RNA", at positions 338 to 795 of the family's 1533-position model. The record is from RNAcentral.
CCUACGGGUGGCAGCAGUGAGGAAUAUUGGUCAAUGGACGAAAGUCUGAACCAGCCAAGUAGCGUGCAGGAUGACGGCCCUAUGGGUUGUAAACUGCUUUUAUACAGGAAUAAAACGAGGUACGUGUGCCUUUUUGCAUGUACCGUAUGAAUAAGGAUCGGCUAACUCCGUGCCAGCAGCCGCGGUAAUACGGAGGAUCCGAGCGUUAUCCGGAUUUAUUGGGUUUAAAGGGAGCGUAGAUGGGUUGUUAAGUCAGUUGUGAAAUGUUGCGGCUCAACCCUGGAAUUGCAACUGAUACUGGCAGUCUUGAGUACAGGUGAGGUAGGCGGAAUUCGUGGUGUAGCGGUGAAAUGCUUAGAUAUCACGAAGAACCCCGAUUGCGAAGGCAGCUUACUAAACUGUGACUGACGUUGAUGCUCGAAAGCGUGGGUAUCAAACAGGAUUAGAUACCCCUGUAGUC